RNAcentral lists this transfer RNA (85 nucleotides) under Felis catus (domestic cat). It matches the Rfam family "tRNA". Rfam says of the family: Transfer RNA (tRNA) molecules are approximately 80 nucleotides in length. Their secondary structure includes four short double-helical elements and three loops (D, anti-codon, and T loops). Further hydrogen bonds mediate the characteristic L-shaped molecular structure. tRNAs have two regions of fundamental functional importance: the anti-codon, which is responsible for specific mRNA codon recognition, and the 3' end, to which the tRNAs corresponding amino acid is attached (by aminoacyl-tRNA synthetases). tRNAs cope with the degeneracy of the genetic code in two manners: having more than one tRNA (with a specific anti-codon) for a particular amino acid; and 'wobble' base-pairing, i.e. permitting non-standard base-pairing at the 3rd anti-codon position. Lineage: Eukaryota; Metazoa; Chordata; Mammalia; Carnivora; Felidae. The record is from Rfam by way of RNAcentral.
ACCUGGGUAGCUCAGUCGGUUAAGCAUCUGACUUCAGCUCAGGUCAUGAUCUCACAGUUUGUGGGUUCAAGCCCCACAUUGGGAA